This 2182-nucleotide ribosomal RNA is filed under the name Epitrimerus sp. AH25 1. RNAcentral describes it as "partial small subunit ribosomal RNA". It matches the Rfam family "Eukaryotic small subunit ribosomal RNA". The record is from RNAcentral. Lineage: Eukaryota; Metazoa; Arthropoda; Arachnida; Trombidiformes; Eriophyidae.
UGUAAAGUUCAAGCUCCGAUUGUGAGGGCGAAACCGCGAAUGGCUCAUUAAAUCAGUCAUAAUCUACUUGAUUGUUUCAAGUUUAUAUGGAUAACUGUGGUAAUUCUAGAGCUAAUACAUGCACAAAUGGGGCGACUCUCGCAAGAGAGAAGCUCUGCGUUUAUUAGACUAAGACCAAUGAAGCUCUUCUUCUCGAAGACUUCUCCAAAAUGGUGACUCUGAGUAAAUAAUGGGUGAAAGCCCAUGUUGCCGACCUGGCAUACCAAAGGUGGCCUCAAAACCAUCGCCAGGCGAAUCAAUCGAGUGUCUGCUCUAUCAACUGUGGAUGGUAGGAUAAUUGCCUACCAUGGUGAUGACGGGUAACGGGGAGUUAGGGCUCGACUCCGGAGAACAAGCCUGAGAAACGGCUAGUAGGACUAAGGUCUGCAGCAGGCGCGAAACUUACACAAUGCUAGAUUUCAAAUAUUAGCGAUGUAGUGAAGAAAAAUAACGAUGUACUUUUAUUUAAACAUAAUAGUACAAUUGGAAUGAGACGACUCUAAACCAGUUAGUCGAGUAACAAAUGGAGGGCAAGUCUGGUGCCAGCAGCCGCGGUAAUUCCAGCUCCAUUAGCAUACAUUAAAGUUGUUGCGGUUAAAAAGCUCGUAGUUGAAUUUUAGGCACUGGUGUCAUGGCUAGUGGCGUUAAGGGUUUCAUCGCAAGAUUUAACCUGCUGCUUACUCUAAACACCAAUGCUGUUUCGUCACUUAAUUCAGUGCGAAGCAAGCUGGAAAAUAUAUAGUACCCACCGUGGUACUCAUUCUUCAGCAUGUUUACCUUGAGAAAAUUAGAGUGCUCACAGCAGGCAGUUGGGGUGUAAAAACCUCUUUAUGCUUGAAUAAUGUUGCAUGGAAUAAUAGAAUACGGCCUCGGUUCUAUUCUGUUGGUCUUAUAGAACAACAAACAAGUUGGUUGGAAACCCUUAAAAGUUUCCUAGAUUCGGUUGCCUUUCAACGCUCACGCGCUCCAAGGUCCGGUCGCUUGCCAACUGAGGCAAUGGUUAAAAGAAAUAGUCGCGGCGGCAUCAGUACUGCAUCGUGAGAGGUGAAAUUCUUAGACCGAUGCAAGACUAACUGAAGCGAAAGCGUUUGCCGAGGAUAUUUUCAUUAAUCAAGAACGAAAGUUAGAGGUUCGAAGGCGAUCAGAUACCGCCCUAGUUCUAACCAUAAACGUUGCCAACUAGCAAUUGGGUUGCGAUUCCUUUAAUCGAGACCCUAAAAAGUCUCGAUCAUUAUGAUCCACCCAGCGGCUCUCGUAGGGAAACCAAAGUGUUUGGGUUCCGGGGGAAGUAUGAUUGCAAAGUUGAAACUUAAAGGAAUUGACGGAAGGGCACCACCAGGAGUGGAGCCUGCGGCUUAAUUUGACUCAACACGGGGAAACUUACUAGAUUAAAACUCUGGAAUGAUUGACAGAUUGAUAGCUCUUUCUUGAUUCAGAGGAUGGUGGUGCAUGGCCGUUCUUGAUUCGUAUUCCGAAACGUCUGCUUAAUUGCGAUAACGAGUGAGACCUCACCCAACUAACUAGUCGUUAGGUGCGCUGUUGGAACACUAAAGUCAGCUGUAGAUCAAUGGUUGAUUGGAGCAAGUGUGGCAACAUAACUACCCCUUUCAUCCUACUGCGCCUGAUGUUCUCUGCUCGCCUGCGGACUUCUUAGAGGGAUAAACGGUGUUUUAGCCGUAAGAAACGAGGCAAUAACAGGUCUGUGAUGCCCUUAGAUAUUCUAGGCCGCACGCGUGCUACAAUGGCGUGUGCAGAAAGCUUGUUCGAGGUUUGUCUAGAGAGAACUAGUUGUUUGGUGUUAGUUGAGCAAUUGAUUUAAAUCGGCAGCCAAGUGACUCUAGUAACAGGCCGAGAGAAACCGCAGCCGAAAGGUUGUGGCAAUCAUAAAUACACGCCGUGAUUUGGGAUUGGGGAUUGCAAUUGUUGCCCAUGAACGAGGAAUUCCCAGUAAGCGCAAUUCAUCAUAUUGCGUUGAUUACGUCCCUGCCCUUUGUACACACCGCCCGUCGCUACUACCGAUUGAAAGUUUUAGUGAGGCAUUUGGACUUGCAAACCAAUGGAGGGGGCAACCUCUCCAGGUUAGCGGGGAAGUCUGUCGAACUCAAAUUUUUAGAGGAAGUAAAAGUCGUAACAAGGUUUCCGU